GACGAACGCUGGCGGCGUGCUUAACACAUGCAAGUCGAACGGAAAGGCCCUGCUUUUGUGGGUGCUCGAGUGGCGAACGGGUGAGUAACACGUGAGUAACCUGCCCUUGACUUUGGGAUAACUUCAGGAAACUGGGGCUAAUACCGGAUAGGAGCUCCUGCUGCAUGGUGGGGGUUGGAAAGUUUCGGCGGCUGGGGAUGGACUCGCGGCUUAUCAGCUUGUUGGUGGGGUAGUGGCUUACCAAGGCUUUGACGGGUAGCCGGCCUGAGAGGGUGACCGGCCACAUUGGGACUGAGAUACGGCCCAGACUCCUACGGGAGGCAGCAGUGGGGAAUAUUGCACAAUGGGCGGAAGCCUGAUGCAGCAACGCCGCGUGCGGGAUGACGGCCUUCGGGUUGUAAACCGCUUUCGCCUGUGACGAAGCGUGAGUGACGGUAAUGGGUAAAGAAGCACCGGCUAACUACGUG
This 467-nucleotide ribosomal RNA is filed under the name uncultured bacterium. RNAcentral describes it as "partial 16S ribosomal RNA". It matches the Rfam family "Bacterial small subunit ribosomal RNA", at positions 28 to 507 of the family's 1533-position model. The record is from RNAcentral.